UGCCUUUUGCAGGGCAAGCAAUGCCUCA
RNAcentral lists this non-coding RNA (28 nucleotides) under Mus musculus (house mouse). The record is from RNAcentral. Lineage: Eukaryota; Metazoa; Chordata; Mammalia; Rodentia; Muridae.